Molecule: non-coding RNA, 32 nt
Filed under: Geobacter sulfurreducens PCA
Lineage: Bacteria; Pseudomonadati; Thermodesulfobacteriota; Desulfuromonadia; Geobacterales; Geobacteraceae
Source: RNAcentral
AUACCAAAACAAAAGACAUUAUGUCCGACAUC